AAAUUGAAGAGUUUGAUCAUGGCUCAGAUUGAACGCUGGCGGCAGGCCUAACACAUGCAAGUCGAACGGUAGCACAGAGAGCUUGCUCUCGGGUGACGAGUGGCGGACGGGUGAGUAAUGUCUGGGAAACUGCCUGAUGGAGGGGGAUAACUACUGGAAACGGUAG
RNAcentral lists this ribosomal RNA (166 nucleotides) under Enterobacter kobei. Its description in RNAcentral is "partial 16S ribosomal RNA". It matches the Rfam family "Bacterial small subunit ribosomal RNA", at positions 1 to 162 of the family's 1533-position model. Lineage: Bacteria; Pseudomonadati; Pseudomonadota; Gammaproteobacteria; Enterobacterales; Enterobacteriaceae. The record is from RNAcentral.